GAGGAAUAUUGGUCAAUGGGCGAGAGCCUGAACCAGCCAAGUAGCGUGCAGGAUGACGGCCCUAUGGGUUGUAAACUGCUUUUAUGUGGGAAUAAAGUGGCGCACGUGUGCGCCAUUGCAUGUACCUCAUGAAUAAGGACCGGCUAAUUCCGUGCCAGCAGCCGCGGUAAUACGGAAGGUCCGGGCGUUAUCCGGAUUUAUUGGGUUUAAAGGGAGUGUAGGCGGUCUGUUAAGCGUGUUGUGAAAUGCAGGUGCUCAACGUCUGCACUGCAGCGCGAACUGGUCCACUUGAGUGUGCACAACGCAGGCGGAAUUCGUCGUGUAGCGGUGAAAUGCUUAGAUAUGACGAAGAACUCCGAUUGCGAAGGCAGCUUGCGGGAGCACAACUGACGCUGAAGCUCGAAAGUGCGGGUAUCGAACAGGAUUAGAUACCCUGGUAGUCCGCACGGUAAACGAUGGAUGCCCGUUGUCAGGCUGUUUCAGCCUGGUGACCAAGCGAAAGCAUUAAGCAUCCCACCUGGGGAGUACGCCGGCAACGGUG
This 541-nucleotide ribosomal RNA is filed under the name uncultured bacterium. RNAcentral describes it as "bacterial SSU rRNA". It matches the Rfam family "Bacterial small subunit ribosomal RNA", at positions 356 to 896 of the family's 1533-position model. The record is from RNAcentral.